This 548-nucleotide ribosomal RNA is filed under the name uncultured bacterium. Its description in RNAcentral is "bacterial SSU rRNA". It matches the Rfam family "Archaeal small subunit ribosomal RNA", at positions 728 to 1276 of the family's 1478-position model. The record is from RNAcentral.
AAUAGAUACCCGGGUAGUCCUAGCCGUAAACGAUACUCGCUAGGUGUCGGCCACGGUGCGACCGUUGUCGGUGCCGUAGGGAAGCCGUGAAGCGAGCCACCUGGGAAGUACGGCCGCAAGGCUGAAACUUAAAGGAAUUGGCGGGGGAGCACCACAACGGGUGGAGCUUGCGGUUUAAUUGGAUUCAACGCCGGAAAUCUUACCGGGACCGACAACAAUAUGAAGGCCAGGCUGAAGACUUUGCCGGAUUAGCUGAGAGGUGGUGCAUGGCCGUCGUCAGUUCGUACUGUGAAGCAUCCUGUUAAGUCAGGCAACGAGCGAGACCCACGCCCACAGUUGCCAGCGUACUCUCUGGAGUGACGGGUUACACUGUGGGGACCGCCGCUGCUAAAGCGGAGGAAGGAAUGGGCAACGGUAGGUCAGUAUGCCCCGAAUAUCCCGGGCUACACGCGAGCUACAAUGGUUGGUACAAUGGGUAUCUACCCCGAAAGGGGACGGGAAUCUCCUAAAACCAUCUUAGUUCGGAUUGAGGGCUGCAACUCGCCUCA